Molecule: transfer RNA, 72 nt
Filed under: Camelus bactrianus (Bactrian camel)
Lineage: Eukaryota; Metazoa; Chordata; Mammalia; Artiodactyla; Camelidae
Also listed under: 2 other names
Rfam family: tRNA
About the family: Transfer RNA (tRNA) molecules are approximately 80 nucleotides in length. Their secondary structure includes four short double-helical elements and three loops (D, anti-codon, and T loops). Further hydrogen bonds mediate the characteristic L-shaped molecular structure. tRNAs have two regions of fundamental functional importance: the anti-codon, which is responsible for specific mRNA codon recognition, and the 3' end, to which the tRNAs corresponding amino acid is attached (by aminoacyl-tRNA synthetases). tRNAs cope with the degeneracy of the genetic code in two manners: having more than one tRNA (with a specific anti-codon) for a particular amino acid; and 'wobble' base-pairing, i.e. permitting non-standard base-pairing at the 3rd anti-codon position.
Source: Rfam by way of RNAcentral
GAGGGUAUAGCUCAGUGGUAGAGCAUAGGUUUAGUACACACAAGGACCUCGGUUCAAUCCCCAGUACCUCCA